RNAcentral lists this ribosomal RNA (458 nucleotides) under uncultured bacterium. Its description in RNAcentral is "partial 16S ribosomal RNA". It matches the Rfam family "Bacterial small subunit ribosomal RNA", at positions 338 to 795 of the family's 1533-position model. The record is from RNAcentral.
CCUACGGGAGGCAGCAGUGGGGAAUAUUGCACAAUGGGGGAAACCCUGAUGCAGCGACGCCGCGUGAGUGAAGAAGUAAUUCGUUACGUAAAGCUCUAUCAGCAGGGAAGAAACACUGACCUUACGGUCAGCAGACGGUACCUGAGUAAGAAGCGCCGGCUAACUACGUGCCAGCAGCCGCGGUAAUACGUAGGGGGCAAGCGUUAUCCGGAUUUACUGGGGGUAAAGGGAGCGUAGACGGUGCGGCAAGUCUGGAGUGAAAUGCCGCAGCUUAACUGCGGAACUGCUUUGGAAACUGGCGAGCUAGAGGGCGGGAGGGGUAAGCGGAAUGCCUAGUGUAGCGGUGAAAUGCGUAGAUAUUAGGAGGAACGCCGGUGGCGAAGGCGGCUUACUGGACCGUAACUGACGUUGAGGCUCGAAAGCGUGGGGAGCAAACAGGAUUAGAUACCCGGGUAGUC